RNAcentral lists this ribosomal RNA (497 nucleotides) under uncultured bacterium. RNAcentral describes it as "partial 16S ribosomal RNA". It matches the Rfam family "Bacterial small subunit ribosomal RNA", at positions 28 to 507 of the family's 1533-position model. The record is from RNAcentral.
GAUGAACGCUGGCGGCGUGCCUAAUACAUGCAAGUCAAGCGAACAGACGAGGAGCUUGCUCCUCUGACGUUAGCGGCGGACGGGUGAGUAACACGUGGAUAACCUACCUAUAAGACUGGGAUAACUUCGGGAAACCGGAGCUAAUACCGGAUAAUAUAUUGAACCGCAUGGUUCAAUAGUGAAAGACGGUUUUGCUGUCACUUAUAGAUGGAUCCGCGCCGCAUUAGCUAGUUGGUAAGGUAACGGCCUACCAAGGCGACGAUGCGUAGCCGACCUGAGAGGGUGAUCGGCCACACUGGAACUGAGACACGGUCCAGACUCCUACGGGAGGCAGCAGUAGGGAAUCUUCCGCAAUGGGCGAAAGCCUGACGGAGCAACGCCGCGUGAGUGAUGAAGGUCUUCGGAUCGUAAAACUCUGUUAUUAGGGAAGAACAAAUGUGUAAGUAACUAUGCACGUCUUGACGGUACCUAAUCAGAAAGCCACGGCUAACUACGUG